Molecule: transfer RNA, 140 nt
Filed under: Thermotogaceae bacterium
Lineage: Bacteria; Thermotogati; Thermotogota; Thermotogae; Thermotogales; Thermotogaceae
Description: tRNA-Lys
Source: RNAcentral
GGGCCCGUAGCUCAGCUAGGUAGGAUGGCGGUAAUAACAUCCCUCUAUCCCUAGAAAGAGCAUCUGGCUUUUAACCAGGUGGUCCGGGGUUCGAAAGGCGCGCGGCCUUCCCGUGCGCUCCGAAAAUCCCCGCGGGCCCG